GCUCAGCGGUCUGGAACUUGCAGGAACAUGAGGAAUCCAUGAAUAAAUGUCUCCUGGCAGUCACCUGCUUGCUUAAACUCUUGACGGCUUCCCUCAGCAAUUAAAACAGCAUCCACCCCUGCCUUUUUAGGGCCCAGGAGGUCCUACUUGAUCUGGCUCUCACCUGUCUUUCCAAUCUCCCUUCAUUCUUCUCCAGUACGCUCCGGCUGCUGCACUGGCCUUAUCCUGUGCCUUGGACAUACUCAAGUUUAUCUUCACCUUAGAGCCCUUGAACUUGCUGCUCCUGCCCAUGACCAGCUUCUCAUUUUGGACACAGCUCCAGGGUCACCUCCUCAGAACGGCUUUUCCUCCCCAACUCCAGUUCUCUCUGUCACAUCACCAUUGAAUUGCCCUUAUGCUCCCUUUCAUGACUUUCCGCUCACUUCUCAACCCCUGCCUGUCUUCCCUUGCAAGAAGAAGAUCCCUCUGCAUAAUAUGGAAGAUGAACUGAAGGUGAACCAUGAUGGCAGCAGUAAAGAGCUGCUGAGAUCAACUUAAAAGAUGUAGAAAUACUUGAACACUCUAUUGAAAAUUUUUAGAUGAGCACACUGAUACUCAAGGAUGGCAUUCCCUAAUUUCUUGUCACCAUUCAACUAUGUUCUGGCCAAUGAGAUCCAACAAAGUGUUGUGUGGGAUUUCUAGAAAAAUCUAUAAGAAGGAGAAGUUUCGGCAGUGAAGCUCAGCCAGUCCCAGCACCCGGAAGGAACCUCCUCACCUCCAUCCCAGGCUCCUAGGGCAGUGCAGGUCAGCCGGUCCCAGCACCCAGAAGGAAGCUCCCUGCCUCCAUCCCAGGCUCCUAGGGCAGUGAAGCUCAGCCAGUCCCAGCACCAAGAAGGAAGCUCCCCUGCUGCCAUCCCAAGCUCCUAGGGCACAGAAGUUGAGCCGCAUGGGUGCCAGAGGCACCACCCCCCCACACAUGGAAAUGAGAAGACACAUAAACAAGCCUCAAAAACAGACUUCCAGAUCACCUACAGCAACCCCAAAGGGAAAUGAGAUGGAACACUCUGAUACUCAACCACCUGGACUCUCUGAACUGGCAACAAAAGAGGAUCUGGGAAAAAUGAAAUCAGAAAUAAUUACUCAGAUAACAGCAAAGAUUUUGCUCAUGGUACAAGACAUGAUUAAUAAAUCUAGGGAGGACACAGAUAAAAAAAUAGAGGAUCUGAGGAAUAUGAUGGAAUCCCAACAUAGGAAACAAAUGGAAUCCAUAAAACAGAUACAAAUAGAUUUCCAGGAGAUUAAAAACUCCAUCGAAAGUCUGUGCAGCAGAAUGAACCAAGGUGAGGAUAGAAUUUCACAUAUAGAAGAUAAGAUUGCAAUUAAUGACCAGGAAAAGAAAAAUUAUUUCAAAAUAAUAAGCGAACACGAGAAAUCAAUCCAGCAGCUGCUAGAUGAUGCAAAGAAGAAUAACAUAAGACUGAUUGGAGUCAAUGAAGAAAGAGGAGAGAGUGCAGAUGACAUAAAAAAACUGUUCACAGAAGUGGUGGCAGAAAACUUCCCAAGAAGGGGAAAAGAACUUGACAUACAGAUAAGUGAGGCAUAUAGGACUUCAAAUAGCCUUGAUCAAAAAAAAAUCUACAUAUAGGCAUAUAAUAGUUAGGAUUCCAGAAAUCCAACAGAAGAAUAAAAUUCUACAAGCAGUGAGAGAAAAGAACCAAAGCACAUACAAAGGAAAGCCCAUCAGAAUCACAGCAGACUUCUCAACGCAAACCCUCAAGGCAAGAAGAGCUUGGAGUGAUGUAUCUCAAGCCCUAAAGGAAAACAGCCUCCAACCCAGAUUGAUGUACCCUGCAAAACUAUCUUUCAAAAUUGAUGGAGAAAUAAGAUACUUUCAUGAUAAAGAGCACCUCAGGAACUUCAUGAAUACCAAACUGGCACUCCAAAAAAUUUUAGACAAUACCCUAGAAAAAGACAAUGAGGAUCACAACCCGAGGAAACCCAGCAGAAUGAAUCCAUUGGGGGUGACAAAUUAAACGCAAAGGGGGAGAAUCCAACAAAAAGAAAAAGUCAUGACAAGGCUUUUAAAACUUUUGACUUUCCCUAAUGAGUAUAUAAUUCAAUCUUAUUAUUGUACUGAUUAGUAUUUUUCUGAUUCUAGAGUUGCACACCAUUCCUUGUGCUAUGCUGGCUAUUUAUCAUCUUAUGUCUACAUUUUAAUUGGGUUGUCUAUUAAUGAGCUCUAAGAAUUCUUUAUAUAUUCUGCUCAUAGGUUAUAUGCAUUGUAAAUAUGGUCUGUUUAAGGACUUUGAAUUUUAAUGAUGUCAUUUAAAGUUCUAAAUUUAUGGAAUCUCAUCAAUUAUUUUUCUUUUAUACAUCAUGGUUUUUGUAUCCUAGGUAGUUCUUGCCUACCCUGAAUUCAUAAAUAUUUUCCCUUAUAAUUUCUUCUUAAAGUUUUACACUUUUAGGCUUUCUUAUUUAGGUUCAUAGAUCCCUUCAAGUUAUUUUCAUGUAUGGAAAAAAAGGGUUGAGGUUAAUUUUUUAUAUAUGGGUUCCAGGUGUUCUAGUGCCAUUUGCUGAAGACACUAUCUCUUCCUCGGCUCUUGAAUUGAGUUUAUAUUCUAUAAAAUGCUAACAUUAAAUAAUCUUUCAAAACUCAGUGGACCAUAUAUGUGUGGUUCUAUUUCUAGAUUCUCUGUUUUAUUCAAAUGAUCUAUAUGUCUUUCCUUACACCAACACUGCCUUGAUUACUGUAGCUUUAGAAGAAGUCUUAAAAUUGGGUGCUAAACGUCUCCCAACACUGUUUUUGUUUUUGUUUUUGUUUUUGUCUUUGGCUUUUCUGGGUCCUUUGUACUCUUACAUAACUUUAAAAUUUCAAUAUCCAGUUCUUCAUUUAUAGCAAGUAUACACAGACCUCAAUUUUUAUAUAUACCUUGUGUUUUCUAAUCCUGCUAAAUUCAAGUACAAGUUCUAGGGGGCCCUAGAGAUUUCUUAAUAUUUUCUCUGUAGAUGAUCAUUUCAUCUACAUAUAAAGAUUUUGCUUCUGCCGUGCCAAUCCUAUCCUAGUUGUGUCAUUUUAUUGCCAGACUAUUUUGGUUUAGACCUAUGUUUCAAAGUCUAAUGGACAGAUUGUAAGACCGAGGGCCUUACCAAACACUCUGAGGAGCUGACUACAAUGAAGAACACCCGGGAGGGAACACACAAGACAAGUUGGAAAGUAAAACAGACCUUUAUUAAUCUGGCCAGACGGCACCCUCCAAGCAAACAAGCUUAGAGAGGCAACUGGCUCAGAGUCCGAGGCUCUUUUAUAGGGGUUGCAAGGGGAAGUUAGCAAGCAGAGAUGACAAAGGCGAGAUGCUGAUGGUUAGGGGAUUUAGAUAGCAUGUUCCAGUACAUUUAGAUAGUAGAUAGCAUGUUCCAGUACAUUUCCUGUUUAUGGGGAGUUGGGUAAUUUCAAAGAACACUGUGCAUUCCGUAAACCUUUGUUUUUCUUCCCAGAAAUGACAUCACAUGUUUUACUCAGAAGGGGAGGGGGAGUAUUGAGUGAGGCAACAUGGAGUAACCUUUGUUCAAUCUCAUAUAGUCCCACAAGAUGAAGAGUGGGCAUAUAUGCCCUUGUUCCCCACUUUAGGGAGAGAACAUUGUAUCAUCUCUAUUCAUAGAAGGAGUUUUUGUUGGAAGUAUGGAGUACAUGUCUUUGAUCUGUUGAGAAGGUUCUGUUCUACUUCUAGUCUCCUGAUAGCUUUUACUAUGAACAGCUGUAGAAUUUAGUCCAAUACUCUUUCUCGAACUAGUGACAGGAUCAUAUGGCUUUUUCCUUUCCUCUGUUAAAAUGAUGACUUUUGGGGGUGGAUCUUCCAAUGCUGAACCAACACUGCCAUCCCUAUAACAAAACCACUUUCUACAUACUGCCAGAUCUGACUUUUAAGAGUUUGUUUUGUUGAACAAAUUUCUAUGUUCAUACUUUUUUCUUCUAUUAUCUUUAUCCAGUUUUAGAAUUAGCACAGUGUUGAUUUCCUAAAAUGAGGGGAGAAGUGUUCCUUCUUUUUUCUGCUUUAAUUGUUUGAUAUAAUUUAUCAGUUAAAAUAUUUAUGAGCCUACUGUUGUCAUAUAGGUAGGUUUUCAAGCUAGAAAUAUACUUUCUUUAGUAGGUGCUAUUCAAAUUUUAUAUUUCCUCCAGAGUUUCCUUAAUUUGUCUUCUAAGUUACUUCUUAGAAGUUGUCAAAUUUAUUUCAAAACAGAUUUUUGUAAUAUGCUUUCUAUAUCCUUUUAAAUUCUGUAAAAUCUGUGGUAACGUCCCUAGAUCUUAAUAUUGUAAUUUAAAAAAUGUAUAACUGAUAUUGUGCAACAGGAAGAAAAGGUCUAAAAGAGCAGGG
Long non-coding RNA from Heterocephalus glaber (naked mole-rat), 4352 nucleotides. NCBI's taxonomy places the organism in Eukaryota, Metazoa, Chordata, Mammalia, Rodentia, Bathyergidae. The record is from Ensembl.